GCCGGAAUGGCGGAACGGUAGACGCGAACGCCUCAAAAGCGUUUGUCCGAAAGGACGUGUGGGUUCGAAUCCCACUUCCGGCACCC
This 86-nucleotide transfer RNA is filed under the name Thermostaphylospora chromogena. Its description in RNAcentral is "tRNA_Leu_CAA". It matches the Rfam family "tRNA". Rfam says of the family: Transfer RNA (tRNA) molecules are approximately 80 nucleotides in length. Their secondary structure includes four short double-helical elements and three loops (D, anti-codon, and T loops). Lineage: Bacteria; Bacillati; Actinomycetota; Actinomycetes; Streptosporangiales; Thermomonosporaceae. The record is from RNAcentral.